CCUACGGGAGGCAGCAGUGGGGGAUAUUGCACAAUGGGGGGAACCCUGAUGCAGCGACGCCGCGUGGGUGAAGGAGUGCUUCGGCAUGUAAAGCCCUAUCGGCAGGGAAGAAGCAUGACGGUACCUGACUAAGCAGCCCCGGCUAACUACGUGACAGCCGCCGCGGUACUACGUAGGGGGCGAGCGUUAUCCGGAUUCACUGGGGUUAAAGGGAGCGUAGACGGCCAUGCAAGCCAGGGGGGAAAGCCCGGGGCCCAACCCCGGGCCAGCCGUUGAAACUGCAUGGCUGGAGUGCGGGAGGGGCAGGCGGAAUGCCUGGUGUAGCGGUGAAAUGCGUAGAUAUCAGGAGGAACACCGGCGGCGAAGGCAGCCUGCUGGACGGCGACUGACGUUGAGGCUCGAAAGCGUGGGGAGCGAACAGGAUUAGAUACCCCAGUAGUC
This 441-nucleotide ribosomal RNA is filed under the name uncultured bacterium. RNAcentral's name for it is "partial 16S ribosomal RNA". It matches the Rfam family "Bacterial small subunit ribosomal RNA", at positions 338 to 795 of the family's 1533-position model. The record is from RNAcentral.